AUACGGAGGGGGUUAGCGUUGUUCGGAAUUACUGGGCGUAAAGCGCACGUAGGCGGACUGGAAAGUUGGGGGUGAAAUCCCGGGGCUCAACCCCGGAACUGCCUCCAAAACUUCCAAUCUAGAGAUCGAGAGAGGUGAGUGGAAUUCCAGGUGUAGAGGUGAAAUUCGUAGAUAUUUGGAGGAACACCAGUGGCGAAGGCGGCUCACUGGCUCGAUACUGACGCUGAGGUGCGAAAGCGUGGGGAGCAAACAGGAUUAGAUACCCCGGUAGUCC
Molecule: ribosomal RNA, 274 nt
Filed under: uncultured bacterium
Lineage: Bacteria
Description: partial 16S ribosomal RNA
Rfam family: Bacterial small subunit ribosomal RNA
Source: RNAcentral